GGUGCUUCUCGGAUGACCCACCCCGGAAUCAGGCUCCCUCCUCUCUGGUUCCAGGUACGUCACCCAAGAACCACA
Non-coding RNA from Myotis lucifugus (little brown bat), 75 nucleotides. The record is from Rfam. Lineage: Eukaryota; Metazoa; Chordata; Mammalia; Chiroptera; Vespertilionidae.